Molecule: non-coding RNA, 96 nt
Organism: Trichophyton equinum CBS 127.97
Lineage: Eukaryota; Fungi; Ascomycota; Eurotiomycetes; Onygenales; Arthrodermataceae
Source: the annotation of a GenBank genome assembly
GCCCGGGUGGUCUAGUUGGCUAUGAUUCUCGCUUAGGGCCUUAACCCUAAGUAACUUAUAUGCGAGAGGUCCCGCGUUCGAAUCGCGGCUCGGGCC